Molecule: long non-coding RNA, 1909 nt
Organism: Equus caballus (horse)
Lineage: Eukaryota; Metazoa; Chordata; Mammalia; Perissodactyla; Equidae
Source: Ensembl
GUUGAUGGUUACUAAAUUAUAUUAAAAGUUCUAGUCCUGUUCUUUGCAUCAGUUUGUUCUACUUCUUUACUCUAGAAUCACAUAGGAAAAGCUGAUCUCACUGCCGUUCAGUUAUUCUUCAGAUAUGCCAGGAUAGCUCCGUGCUCUCAAGUCCAUUUCCCUCUGGGUUAAGUAUUCUCAGGUCCUUAGUUGGCCCGAAUGAUGAAAGGCCAAACUAGCCCACUCGUCUCAUCCAUCCCCAGCUCUCUGCCUUUGCUCACUGGGAGCACUGGGAGAGGAAGGGAGCAUCAAAAGAGAGAAGGAGUCCCGUGUCCUCAGUCUCUGUUGGUUCCCCUCACCACUGCUGCAGCCAGUUGAGGCAGAAAGCCGCACGAAUAUUACUCAGAUUAGGGAGAGCCUAAAAGGAGGGGAGAAUGACUAGUGUAGUUGGGAGCAAUUUUGUUGGUCCCCAAAAAGAGAGGGGAGAGAUGUGGAAGGGAGGAGUGAGGGGUGCCUGUGAGGCAGGCUGUACCUGGAGGUCAGUGACUGCAUGAAGCAUCCAGGCUUGAGCGCCUUGCCGGUGUUCCCCCCAACAGGAAGAGGUGGUGGGGUGUGUGCCUAUGGGCAGUAGCUGUCUUGCCCACAGAGAGUUCGAGCCAGGCCAGAGUUUCCACAUCUUGCAUCCCAGUGCAGACUGCUUUUGAGCACCUGUCACUUGUGGCCCUGCCCUAGCUAGCACGUAUAGGAGAAGCCGUGACCACAGAAGAGGGCUGCAGCUGCUCCCUCAGUCGGGUAAAGAGGUGUUUGUCCUUUGACCUCAUUUGUCAUCUGGGUCCUGAAGAAGGGAGGGCAAAGGAGGAGUUAAAGAACAGACUCCUUGUUGCUGCCACCAUGGCCAGUAGUCAAGCCUGAGCUGUGGGGAGGUUGGAGAUGGGUUAUUAAACCAAGCCGGACUGGACUCGUUAAUCUAGUUACAGGUCAGCUAUGAGAGCUGCUUAGGGUGUGCUGAGGAGAAGAGGGAGGUGACGGCAUGGUUGAAGACCAUGGUCAGGAAAGUGGGACCACAUCCAGGCUGUUCUACCGACUGGUUGAUAGGUUUUUCUAUUUCUUCUUGACUCUAUUUUCCUCAUUUACACUUUCCUCGAACAUUGGGCCAUUUCAUAUUCAUCGAUGGAAUUCUAGAAGACAGGUAACACUGCUUUUAUAACAUCACAGGCCAGAAGUUUUUUUAAGCGAUUUACUUAUUUAAUCCUCAUCAGAAUUUAUUGAGGGAGUUCUUUUAUCAUCUCCAUUUUAUAGAGAAGGAAACUGAGGCACAAGGAGGAUCAUUACAUUGUCCAAGGUCUCAGCUGCUAAGUGGAGGAAUCAGGAUUCCAACCUCCAGCUUAAGCUUUCUGGCUUGAUUCCCUUAUUUAGAUUCGUUCAUAUAUAUAUUCACAUAUACAUGUGUGUGUACUUAUAAAUAUAUAUUUUUAUAAUUUUAAAAAUUACUGUAUAGUUUUUUUUACCCUCAUUUGUUCCUGAUGUUAAUGUGCCUUUUCAUUUUCUCCUGGUUGUACUUUCUGAAGGAUUGUCAACCUCUGGUUCUCAAAAGUGUGGUCUGCAGAGCCCUUGGGCAUCCCCAAGACCCUUCCAGGAGUCUGCAAGGUCCAAACUGUACUUUGGUGGUACGAGGAUGUUACUCUCCUUUCUCGGUGCUGGUGCUUCGCUCCAGAGCGGUUAGGAGUUACGGUGUUCAUCACUGCUCACUCCCAGUAGAAACACUGUCAGAGACACUUAAGAAAGUCUUUUCUGAUGUUCUUCGUACACUUCAACCAAAACAAUGUAUCACAACAGGUGGAACGCAGGAGCCAAUCUUCUACAAAGCCCGAUAGUUAAAAGAUUUGCAAACAGGUAAAGCAAUGCCAGUCUUCUCACCACUCCUUUUUGG